ACAUUUAUAUACACGAUCUUAACGAUAAAAUUGAAACGAUACAGAAAAGAUUAGCAUAACCCUUGCGCAAGUAUCACAUAUGAUCUAAAGAGAAUAGUUAAAUCAAA
Small nuclear RNA from Lathyrus oleraceus (garden pea), 107 nucleotides. NCBI's taxonomy places the organism in Eukaryota, Viridiplantae, Streptophyta, Magnoliopsida, Fabales, Fabaceae. The record is from RefSeq and is a predicted model, not a curated record.